UCUCCGUUGGUGAACCAGCGGAGGGAUCAUUACAGGACUCGCAAGACUCCUACACCCCUGUGAACUUAACUAUAAGCACGUUGCUUCGGCGGGUGUCUCGGGGGGGGUUCUCCCUCCCCGAGACGCUAAACCCGCCGGCAGCCUACUAUACUCUGUCUCUUUGCGUUGGCAUCUCGAGUACAAUCAAACAAGUUAAAACUUUCAACAACGGAUCUCUUGGUUCUG
RNAcentral lists this unclassified non-coding RNA (225 nucleotides) under plant metagenome. Its description in RNAcentral is "partial contains small subunit ribosomal RNA, internal transcribed spacer 1, and 5.8S ribosomal RNA". The record is from RNAcentral.